RNAcentral lists this ribosomal RNA (440 nucleotides) under uncultured bacterium. RNAcentral's name for it is "partial 16S ribosomal RNA". It matches the Rfam family "Bacterial small subunit ribosomal RNA", at positions 338 to 795 of the family's 1533-position model. The record is from RNAcentral.
CCUACGGGUGGCUGCAGUGGGGAAUAUUGCACAAUGGGGGAAACCCUGAUGCAGCGACGCCGCGUGCGUGAAGAAGUAUCUCGGUACGUAAAGCUCUAUCAGCAGGGAAGAAAAUGACGGUACCUGACUAAGAAGCCCCGGCUAACUACGUGCAGGCAGCCGCGGUAAUACGUCGGGGGCCAGCGUUAUCCGGAUUUACUGGGUGUAAAGGGAGCGUAGACGGCAGGACAAGUCUGGAGUGAAAUCCCGGGGCUUAACCCGGGAACUGCUUUGGAAACUGUGCGGCUGGAGUGCAGGCGGGGUAAGCGGAAUUCCUAGUGUAGCGGUGAAAUGCGUAGAUAUGAGGAGGAACACCGGUGGCGAAGGCGGCUUACUGGAGUGGAACUGACGUUGAGGCUCGAAAGCGUGGGGAGCAAACAGGAUUAGAUACCCGGGUAGUC